RNAcentral lists this long non-coding RNA (1309 nucleotides) under Sus scrofa (pig). RNAcentral's name for it is "lncRNA (ENSSSCG00005025361.1)". Lineage: Eukaryota; Metazoa; Chordata; Mammalia; Artiodactyla; Suidae. The record is from RNAcentral.
GAAUGAACGUCAAUAUUUUUUCCAAAUGAAAACACUUAAAUAAAAGAUGCCUAUACAGAGACAUUUAUUUGUACCAUUUGCGUGUGUUAUUUGGGAGUGCAGUGAGCAGUUUUGACUUGGGGAUUAAACUGGAAUUCUGGAUGCAUUCCUUAGCUUUUUUUUUUUUUUUUCCAGUGUGAAUGUAACUUCCUGUAUCGAGAUUUCAAUGUCUUUAGACCUUUUAAAAUAUAAUCUGACUGCAGUCUUUGGCGAAUUAAUUCACUUAAACCAGAGCGCCUGCCCUGAGCACGAAGGUUUCGUGUUGGAAGUCAGGGAGGGAUGUGGUUAAUUUGCCAAGAAGCAGAGAUUCUUCCUGACUUCUUAGCGCGAUCUUCUCAACUCUGUUGUCAACCGCAAAUCGAGGGACCUUGGCCUCCUCGGGCGCAGAACUGUUUUUCCAAAUCUCCCUGGGGGUCAGGUUGGCGCGGAUAACUUCAAACCGUUUGAGAACGAAAAAACCCCUUUCUCACUUGGAAAGAAACGUUUGCCGAGGUCUUGACGCUUAAGUAACGCCUUAUCUCGCCCUCGCUGUGUCCAGCCUGGAGUUCCCGGUCUUUGGUCGCCACCGAGAGCGACUCCCAAGGUGCUGAGGGACCUUCGCUCCGUCGGCGGGCGGGCGGCUGUAGCCCCGGGCCUAGCUGCCCACUUGCCCUUGGUUCUCUAAAGCUCGAGAGCACCUAACGAAUUACCGUUGCCCUGGGAUAGUCCCAACUUGCCUGACCCUGCGGGGAUGUCGGGGGUAGGAGAGCGUGGACUGCUGGCCUUGCUCGGAACCAGCCGGGGACCCGCCCUGAAAAGGACCGAGGCUCCAGCGGCCGCGGCGCACCAGGGCGCACAGCUAGCGGGACAGAAAGCGUGACGCGCCGGGGGAGCCAGGUCCAGGGCCACAACUUGAGGCCUCCGGACUUGGCAGCCUCACCCUGCGGAGACGCAGGUGAGUCAGGUUGGAGGUCAAGAGCCCGACGGCCUCGAGGCUGCGGGAACCUUCAAUUUGCCAGGCCUCGCUCCGCCAGGUAGUCAAGGGCGCCGCGUCUCCAAGUCCGUGCACUUUGUCCGCGCUGGUUGGGACCAGGAGUCCCAAGCGUCUCUCCGGCCGCGUCUCUCUCCGGCUGGCGACCGGAGAGGACCCGGGGCGCUAGCGAGGAGCCCCGGGGAGACGCCGACUGGGCCUCUGUCUCUGAACCUGCCCGUAGGUUUCGAACUCCGCUCAACCUCUCCGCACUCCCGCCAACCCGAGAGAAGGAACUCCUUACCUCUUGAGGCUCGCAGG